RNAcentral lists this ribosomal RNA (207 nucleotides) under uncultured bacterium. RNAcentral describes it as "partial 16S ribosomal RNA". It matches the Rfam family "Bacterial small subunit ribosomal RNA", at positions 568 to 775 of the family's 1533-position model. The record is from RNAcentral.
UGCGUAGGUGGUUUCUUAAGUCAGAGGUGAAAGGCUACGGCUCAACCGUAGUAAGCCUUUGAAACUGGGAAACUUGAGUGCAGGAGAGGAGAGUGGAAUUCCUAGUGUAGCGGUGAAAUGCGUAGAUAUUAGGAGGAACACCAGUUGCGAAGGCGGCUCUCUGGACUGUAACUGACACUGAGGCACGAAAGCGUGGGGAGCAAACGA